AUGAAUUAUGGUUCGAACACAAGAGCCAGCGGACUGGAAAACCAGGAGCGGAGCUGAAUAACCAGCAGACCGGAAAGUUGGAGCGGGACGCGACAGCCGUUUUGAUUUGGGAUUGAAAUGAGAAAAGAACUCUUUUAAAAGUCAAGGGCUGUUGAAGGAGUGGUGCACCACUCAAAAGCAAGAAACCUGAGACUCAUUGACUGAUUAAGAAGAGGAAAGGAUGCCAAGAAUGGGA
Long non-coding RNA from Hemiscyllium ocellatum (epaulette shark), 235 nucleotides. RefSeq lists it as uncharacterized. The transcript has 3 exons. The record is from RefSeq and is a predicted model, not a curated record. NCBI's taxonomy places the organism in Eukaryota, Metazoa, Chordata, Chondrichthyes, Orectolobiformes, Hemiscylliidae.